AGUGAACGCUGGCGGUAGGCCUAACACAUGCCAGUCGAACGGCAGCACAGUAAGAGCUUGCUCUUACGGGUGGCGAGUGGCGGACGGGUGAGGAAUACAUCGGAAUCUACUUUUUCGUGGGGGAUAACGUAGGGAAACUUACGCUAAUACCGCAUACGACCUACGGGUGAAAGCAGGGGAUCUUCGGACCUUGCGCGAUUGAAUGAGCCGAUGUCGGAUUAGCUAGUUGGCGGGGUAAAGGCCCACCAAGGCGACGAUCCGUAGCUGGUCUGAGAGGAUGAUCAGCCACACUGGAACUGAGACACGGUCCAGACUCCUACGGGAGGCAGCAGUGGGGAAUAUUGGACAAUGGGCGCAAGCCUGAUCCAGCCAUACCGCGUGGGAGAAGAAGGCCUUCGGGUUGUAAAGCCCUUUUGUUGGGAAAGAAAAGCAGCAGGUUAAUACCCCGCUGUUCUGACGGUACCCAAAGAAUAAGCACCGGCUAACUUCGUG
RNAcentral lists this ribosomal RNA (492 nucleotides) under uncultured bacterium. RNAcentral's name for it is "partial 16S ribosomal RNA". It matches the Rfam family "Bacterial small subunit ribosomal RNA", at positions 29 to 507 of the family's 1533-position model. The record is from RNAcentral.